CGUGGAAAAAAGAAACUCUCCACCAAAGACAGAAGUGCAACACAAUUGCGCAUACGUUAGAGGACAUGUUAGUUAGUUAGGGCAGUUUGUUUGAAGUGUUCGAUUUAUUACUCUACAAAGCUUGGCGAAUCGAAGACAGCUGUGAUACACAGAUGAAAUAUCCACGUUAAGCAUCAUGUGUUCCUAACUUUAUAAAGUUGUCCCUUGGAUACAAUAUCAUAGCAAACAUAAAAAAAUAUUAUAUUUUUUUUUUCUUUAAGAAGAGAAAACUGGACCUCAUGUGCGACUUCGUUUUCUGGCAUCCCUGCAUAGCAGAAGAAAAAUUUCAAUAGAUUAUAUUUUUUCUAACCAGCAACAAAUGUGUUACACCACAUUGUAUAAUCGCACUAUUAGAAAAAUAUUUUUAAAGGGAUUGCAGGUUUGCUUCACUCCAGAGUUACGUGCUAUAGCCACUUCAAGCACUAACCAUGAGUCAUACAUGCGAAUUCUCGCUGAAUUUGACAUGAGACCUCAUGACUCAUGAGAAAAAUAAACAGCAGAGAAAGAAUACUCAUACAUACAUAUAUAGACGACAGAAGUGUAAACAAACAGCCGACCAGGCGAUAAUACAAACAAGCAACACGAAGGAUGCGUUAAAGGACGCACACUACAUAGCGUACAAACUGACAAAAAAAUAGUGCGCUUAAGCCUCGCGGCGUUCAGGUUAAGGCAAGCAGGUAAGAUUGACAGCGUAAGAAAUCGGCGCAGCCAAUGCGCGUACGCGCGAUUGAUGGAGGCAAGCGUGAAUUCCUUCACAGCUGUUGCGCCACGCACAACCAAGCAGCACAUGCAACACAGUAGAAGUGCUGGCGUAUGCUGAAGACGCGUAUAGGAAAAGAUCCGCACCAUCAAGGACCACAUACAACAGCAGUACUGGCUUAAAAUAACUGCGUAGUAAGCCAGUGGUGGCGCAGAAAGCUAGGCGCAUAUGCGAGGUGGAGUACAAAAAUUCAAAGCUAGGCAAAUGUGCGUGGAGGAAGAAUCAAGACGCAAAUAAGAAACACAACAACAUAUUACGAAUCACAGGACAUUCAAAAGUUUCCAUGUGCGUAAGUUUCGCUGACGUUAGCUGUGGUGGUUGUAAAUAUGUGCAGCAACGCAUAGCAAAAGAACCCUUACCGCGUAGACGCAGCAGUUGUGGUUGCGGCAAAGCUGUUGCUUUUGAGCCUUUGCUGUUGCUAUUAUUAUUGUUUUUAUGAUUAUGGCUACAUAUACCGCUUCAUUAUAGUAUAACUGUAUUUGUAUUAUCCUUUUGCACAAAUCAUAACGACCCAAAAGUAAGUGGUAUUUAUUCCAGUUGUUGUUUUAUUUCUCAAUAUAACAACAACAACAGUUGACGCGUACCACGCCGCUCAGCUGUUGCUGCUACUGGUGUUAUUUUUGCUUAGUUUUUUUUUCGUAUUCUUUAAGAAGCACCUCUUUGUCUUUGUUGAUUGUGUGAUGCAAAGGACGGCUGCUCUUUCAUGCCUGGCAUUUACAAUGUUGUUGUUGCAUGUGUGCGUUGACAUUGAACACCCGGCGCAGCUGGUAUAUUUAACACAAAAACAAUAUUUCGGUAAAGGCGAAAAAAGCAGAGGCAAACAAUCAACAAAGUGAAAUGAGCGCAGUGGCGGGCAAGGCAGUUAACAGAAAAGGAUGUGAGCGCUGCGUAAGGAAUAAAUAUUUUAAUUGACGUGCUGUCAUUGGAAGAAAAUUGUUUGCGAGAAAAGGCACAGCUUACACUAAAGAACGCACUUGCUGCACAAAGUUGGAAAUGAAAAAUGCAAAGCCUUAAAUAUUUUUUUUUCAUAUAGCUGCCAUACUAACUGAACGAUGCAAAUCAAGUGCUUGCAGCGAAAACUUUUUUAUGUGAUGAUCUAUCUUAUCUUAUACUAUUGUACAUGGCAACGCUACAAUCUCCGAAAAAAAUGUUGAGAUCGUGCCACUAUAACAUAUAGCUGCCAUACAAACUGAUCGAUCAAAAUCAAGUUAUAUACUUUUUUUGUGAAGUGUAUUAUAGCUACGGCUGCACCGUACCGUUAGCCUUUUUUAUUGCUAAUAUACAAAAUAGAUUGAGUUUUGCUGCUAUUACCAAAUAUCAAAAAGAUUUUGGCCAUAUAAAAUUAAUGCAUACCAUAUUUACAUAUCAACAAUAUUUAUGUGCGCUUUUUUAGUAACACAUAGCAAAAUCAAUGAUUUUGCUUUCUAAAAAGGCUUCAAUUGCAUUGCUAUAAAUAUUAUGAAAAUCGCUAUCGCUCAAAAAAAAAUUGCUUCACAUUUUUUUUAUUUUGUAUUUUUAAGCGCAUUUUUAAAACUCAGCAAGCUUACUUUUUUAAGCGCAUACUCGUAUGCAUAUUUUGUUGGUGUUUGAUCUUGCAUUUUUAAUAUUUUUAAAGACAAAAUUCGUAAUGUUUACAGCUUGGUUUUAACAGAAAAUCGCUACAUUAUUGGUGAAAGGAUGCAUAAAAAAAUUCAUUAUACACUAGGCAUGAACUUUGUAAUGUUAAUUAAGCUACCGUGUGAACACGCUGUAAGCGAGCAGCCAUAAAUCAAACACAUUACACGCGAUAAUAGUCGACUAUCGUUGACAAAGUAAUAACUAAUUUACUGCAUUUUGUUGAUUGAACGCAUAAAAUUAUUUAACACAUUCUGUUAUUAUUAUGUAGUUUAUUAAGCCAAUUUCUAAUUGAAUUAUUUAUGUGCAUAUGUAUAUUAAUCGAAUUCAUAUGAUUAUUGGCAUAUAUUACUAUAGUGUAGUGAUAGCUGUUAUAUACCACAUUGGCAGAGGCAGCGUCAACACGGCACUUUUGAACAAGCUAAGAGCAACAGCAACAACUACAUAUAUGAAAUUUUUUAGAAAAACGAAUGUACAUACAUAUGUAUAUGCAUUACUUUAUCACACUUUGUAAUUAAAAAAUUAAAAAAAGGGUGCAGUCACAUUUUUUAAAUAAAAAAUGGCGCUUAUUUGAGUUUCCAGCACUAAAAA
Bactrocera oleae (olive fruit fly) is the source of this 3004-nucleotide non-coding RNA. The record is from RefSeq and is a predicted model, not a curated record. NCBI's taxonomy places the organism in Eukaryota, Metazoa, Arthropoda, Insecta, Diptera, Tephritidae.